RNAcentral lists this ribosomal RNA (770 nucleotides) under uncultured bacterium. Its description in RNAcentral is "bacterial SSU rRNA". It matches the Rfam family "Bacterial small subunit ribosomal RNA", at positions 1 to 766 of the family's 1533-position model. The record is from RNAcentral.
UAGAGUUUGAUCCUGGCUCAGAUUGAACGCUGGCGGCAGGCCUAACACAUGCAAGUCGAACGGUAACAGGAAGAAGCUUGCUUCUUUGCUGACGAGUGGCGGACGGGUGAGUAAUGUCUGGGAAACUGCCUGAUGGAGGGGGAUAACUACUGGAAACGGUAGCUAAUACCGCAUAACGUCGCAAGACCAAAGAGGGGGACCUUCGGGCCUCUUGCCAUCGGAUGUGCCCAGAUGGGAUUAGCUAGUAGGUGGGGUAACGGCUCACCUAGGCGACGAUCCCUAGCUGGUCUGAGAGGAUGACCAGCCACACUGGAACUGAGACACGGUCCAGACUCCUACGGGAGGCAGCAGUGGGGAAUAUUGCACAAUGGGCGCAAGCCUGAUGCAGCCAUGCCGCGUGUAUGAAGAAGGCCUUCGGGUUGUAAAGUACUUUCAGCGGGGAGGAAGGGAGUAAAGUUAAUACCUUUGCUCAUUGACGUUACCCGCAGAAGAAGCACCGGCUAACUCCGUGCCAGCAGCCGCGGUAAUACGGAGGGUGCAAGCGUUAAUCGGAAUUACUGGGCGUAAAGCGCACGCAGGCGGUUUGUUAAGUCAGAUGUGAAAUCCCCGGGCUCAACCUGGGAACUGCAUCUGAUACUGGCAAGCUUGAGUCUCGUAGAGGGGGGUAGAAUUCCAGGUGUAGCGGUGAAAUGCGUAGAGAUCUGGAGGAAUACCGGUGGCGAAGGCGGCCCCCUGGACGAAGACUGACGCUCAGGUGCGAAAGCGUGGGG